RNAcentral lists this ribosomal RNA (478 nucleotides) under uncultured bacterium. RNAcentral's name for it is "partial 16S ribosomal RNA". It matches the Rfam family "Bacterial small subunit ribosomal RNA", at positions 28 to 507 of the family's 1533-position model. The record is from RNAcentral.
GAUGAACGCUGGCGGCGUGCCUAACACAUGCAGGUCGAACGGAGUCCAGCCUUUAAGACCUUCGGGUCAAAGAGGGGAAGACUGAGUGGCGGACGGGUGAGUAACACGUGGGCAACCUGGCUCAUAGAGGGGGAUAACAGAGAGAAAUUUCUGCUAAUACCGCAUAAGCACACACUGCCGCAUGGCAGAGGGUGAAAAGAGAAUCGCUAUGAGAUGGACCCGCGUCUGAUUAGCCAGUUGGCAGGGUAAGAGCCUACCAAAGCGACGAUCAGUAGCCGAUCUGAGAGGAUGAACGGCCACAUUGGGACUGAGACACGGCCCAAACUCCUACGGGAGGCAGCAGUGGGGGAUAUUGCACAAUGGGGGGAACCCUGAUGCAGCGACGCCGCGUGAGUGAAGAAGUAUUUCGGUAUGUAAAGCUCUAUCAGCAGGGAAGAUAAUGACAGUACCUGAAUAAGAAGCCCCGGCUAACUACGUG